GACGUAGGGCGCGAGCGUUGUCCGGAAUUAUUGGGCGUAAAGAGCUCGUAGGCGGUUUGUCACGUCUGCUGUGAAAUCCCGAGGCUCAACCUCGGGCCUGCAGUGGGUACGGGCAGACUGGAGUGCGGUAGGGGAGAAUGGAAUUCCUGGUGUAGCGGUGAAAUGCGCAGAUAUCAGGAAGAACACCGAUGGCGAAGGCAGCUCUCUGGGACGGUACUGACGCUGAGACGCGAAAGCGUGGGGAGCAAACAGG
This 253-nucleotide ribosomal RNA is filed under the name uncultured bacterium. RNAcentral describes it as "partial 16S ribosomal RNA". It matches the Rfam family "Bacterial small subunit ribosomal RNA", at positions 524 to 776 of the family's 1533-position model. The record is from RNAcentral.